ACUCCGACCGGAGACGGAAGGAGUGCUUUUAUUAGAUCAAAACCAAUCGGUGGCGGGCUUGCUCGUCAUCGUACAACUUGGUGACUCUGAAUAACUUUAUGCUGAUCGCACGGUCUCGCACCGGCGACGCAUCUUUCAAAUGUCUGCCUUAUCAACUGUCGAUGGUAGGUUCUGCGCCUACCAUGGUUGUAACGGGUAACGGGGAAUCAGGGUUCGAUUCCGGAGAGGGAGCCUGAGAAACGGCUACCACAUCCAAGGAAGGCAGCAGGCGCGCAAAUUACCCACUCCCGGCACGGGGAGGUAGUGACGAAAAAUAACGAUACGGGACUCAUCCGAGGCCCCGUAAUCGGAAUGAGUACACUCUAAACCCUUUAACGAGGAUCAAUUGGAGGGCAAGUCUGGUGCCAGCAGCCGCGGUAAUUCCAGCUCCAAUAGCGUAUAUUAAAGUUGUUGCGGUUAAAAAGCUCGUAGUCGAAUCUGUGUCUUGCGCCGCCGGUUCAUCGUUCGCGGUGUUAACUGGCGUGUCGCAGGACGUCCUGCCGGUGGGCUUAGCUCGCAAGGGCGGCCCAACUCAAUCCUGCCGCGGUGCUCUUCACUGAGUGUCGAGGUGGGCCGGCACGUUUACUUUGAACAAAUUAGAGUGCUUAAAGCAGGCUAAAACUUCGCCUGAAUACUGUGUGCAUGGAAUAAUGGAAUAGGACCUCGGUUCUAUUUUGUUGGUUUUCGGAACCCCGAGGUAAUGAUUAAUAGGAACGGAUGGGGGCAUUCGUAUUGCGACGUUAGAGGUGAAAUUCUUGGAUCGUCGCAAGACGGACAGAAGCGAAAGCAUUUGCCAAAAACGCUUUCAUUGAUCAAGAACGAAAGUUAGAGGUUCGAAGGCGAUCAGAUACCGCCCUAGUUCUAACCAUAAACGAUGCCAGCUAGCGAUCCGUCGACGUUCCUCCGAUGACUCGACGGGCAGCUUCCGGGAAACCAAAGCUUUUGGGUUCCGGGGGAAGUAUGGUUGCAAAGCUGAAACUUAAAGGAAUUGACGGAAGGGCACCACCAGGAGUGGAGCCUGCGGCUUAAUUUGACUCAACACGGGAAACCUCACCAGGCCCGGACACCGGAAGGAUUGACAGAUUGAGAGCUCUUUCUUGAUUCGGUGGGUGGUGGUGCAUGGCCGUUCUUAGUUGGUGGAGCGAUUUGUCUGGUUAAUUCCGAUAACGAACGAGACUCUAGCCUGCUAACUAGGCGUAUUUUGACAUCGCAAAGGCCCGCCGGUAUCGGGGUUCGCUCCUUUAUCGUGCGCGGUUUUUACUGUCGGCGUACAAACAAUUCUUCUUAGAGGGACAGGCGGCUUCUAGCCGCACGAGAUUGAGCAAUAACAGGUCUGUGAUGCCCUUAGAUGUUCUGGGCCGCACGCGCGCUACACUGAAGGAAUCAGCGUGUCCUCCCUGGCCGAGUGGCCCGGGUAACCCGCUGAACCU
RNAcentral lists this ribosomal RNA (1469 nucleotides) under Caenorhinus mannerheimi. RNAcentral's name for it is "SSU rRNA". It matches the Rfam family "Eukaryotic small subunit ribosomal RNA", at positions 174 to 1561 of the family's 1831-position model. Lineage: Eukaryota; Metazoa; Arthropoda; Insecta; Coleoptera; Attelabidae. The record is from RNAcentral.